GAUGAACGCUGGCGGCGUGCCUAAUACAUGCAAGUCGAGCGAACGGACGAGAAGCUUGCUUCUCUGAUGUUAGCGGCGGACGGGUGAGUAACACGUGGAUAACCUACCUAUAAGACUGGGAUAACUUCGGGAAACCGGAGCUAAUACCGGAUAAUAUUUUGAACCGCAUUGUUCAAAAGUGAAAGACGGUCUUUCUGUCACUUAUAGAUGGAUCCGCGCUGCAUUAGCUAGUUGGUAAGGUAACGGCUUACCAAGGCAACGAUGCAUAGCCGACCUGAGAGGGUGAUAGGCCACACUGGAACUGAGACACGGUCCAGACUCCUAAGGGAGGCAGCAGUAGGGAAUCUUCCGCAAUGGGCGAAAGCCUGACGGAGCAACGCCGCGUGAGUGAUGAAGGUCUUCGGAUCGUAAAAAUCUGUUAUUAGGGAAGAACAUAUGUGUAAGUAAAUGUGCACAUCUUGACGGUACCUAAUCAGAAAGCAACGGCUAACUACGUG
Molecule: ribosomal RNA, 497 nt
Filed under: uncultured bacterium
Lineage: Bacteria
Description: partial 16S ribosomal RNA
Rfam family: Bacterial small subunit ribosomal RNA
Source: RNAcentral